Molecule: long non-coding RNA, 449 nt
Organism: Daphnia magna
Lineage: Eukaryota; Metazoa; Arthropoda; Branchiopoda; Diplostraca; Daphniidae
Exons: 2
Source: RefSeq, a predicted model, not a curated record
GAAUCAAGAUGGUUUGUUUCGCGGUUUAGCCGCUGAAUGGUGUUUCAUUCCCAUGCUAAAGUGCGAAACAACGUUGCGAAACAGAAGGCUGCUGGAUGGCUGGCGAAAGCGCGAAAUGUUAAUAUUUCAAUCAAUAAAAAAAGAAAAUUUUAACAGGAAUCGCAGGCUUUUACAUUUCUGACAGAGCCAAACAGUCUCAUGAGUUUUUUCAGGCCAAAUUUUACAUGCUAUGGAACCAUUCAAGGCACUUAGAGGUCAGAGCACUGGAGAACAUCCCAGUUAGCCCACGGCUUUACAUUUUUUGGUUUAAACUCAAUUUAAUUCAAUAAAUUAAUUUCAUUUACUUCAAUCAGAUUCUAAACACAUUGUUACAUUUAAAAUGCUAGUUUUUUAUUCCCCAUCGUGUUUAGUUUCCUAUUAGCCAAUACAAGUUAACAAUUCGUCGCGAA